AUACGGAGGGUGCAAGCGUUAUCCGGAAUCAUUGGGUUUAAAGGGUCCGUAGGCGGGCAAUUAAGUCAGAGGUGAAAUCCCACAGCUCAACUGUGGAACUGCCUUUGAUACUGGUUGUCUUGAGUUAUAGUGAAGUAGAUAGAAUGUGUAGUGUAGCGGUGAAAUGCAUAGAUAUUUCACAGAAUACCGAUUGCGAAGGCAGUCUACUAACUGUUGACUGACGCUAAUGGACGAAAGCGUGGGGAGCGAACAGGAUUAGAAACCCCAGUAGUCC
This 274-nucleotide ribosomal RNA is filed under the name uncultured bacterium. RNAcentral describes it as "partial 16S ribosomal RNA". It matches the Rfam family "Bacterial small subunit ribosomal RNA", at positions 523 to 796 of the family's 1533-position model. The record is from RNAcentral.